CAACCCCUGUGACAUACCACUUGUUGCCUCGGCGGAUCAGCCCGCUCCCGGUAAAACGGGACGGCCCGCCAGAGGACCCCUAAACUCUGUUUCUAUAUGUAACUUCUGAGUAAAACCAUAAAUAAAUCAAAACUUUCAACAACGGAUCUCUUGGUUCUGGCAUCGAUGAAGAACGCAGCAAAAUGCGAUAAGUAAUGUGAAUUGCAGAAUUCAGUGAAUCAUCGAAUCUUUGAACGCACAUUGCGCCCGCCAGUAUUCUGGCGGGCAUGCCUGUUCGAGCGUCAUUUCAACCCUCAAGCACAGCUUGGUGUUGGGACUCGCGUUAAUUCGCGUUCCUCAAAUUGAUUGGCGGUCACGUCGAGCUUCCAUAGCGUAGUAGUAAAACCCUCGUUACUGGUAAUCGUCGCGGCCACGCCGUUAAACCCCAACUUCUGAAUGUUGACCUCGGAUCAGGUAGGAAUACCCGCUGAACUUAAGCAUA
This 481-nucleotide ribosomal RNA is filed under the name Fusarium oxysporum f. sp. lycopersici. Its description in RNAcentral is "eukaryotic LSU rRNA". The stretch from base 131 to 284 matches the Rfam family "5.8S ribosomal RNA". The record is from RNAcentral. Lineage: Eukaryota; Fungi; Ascomycota; Sordariomycetes; Hypocreales; Nectriaceae.